This 232-nucleotide ribosomal RNA is filed under the name uncultured bacterium. RNAcentral describes it as "partial 16S ribosomal RNA". It matches the Rfam family "Bacterial small subunit ribosomal RNA", at positions 118 to 351 of the family's 1533-position model. The record is from RNAcentral.
UGAGUAACCUGCCCCUGACUCUGGGAUAACCCCGGGAAACCGGAGCUAAUACCGGAUACGAACCACUCAGGCAUCUGAGAGGUAGGAAAGAUUUAUCGGUCAGGGAUGGACUCGCGGCCUAUCAGCUUGUUGGUGAGGUAAUGGCUCACCAAGGCUUCGACGGGUAGCCGGCCUGAGAGGGCGACCGGCCACACUGGGACUGAGACACGGCCCAGACUCCUACGGGAGGCAG